Molecule: ribosomal RNA, 297 nt
Filed under: uncultured bacterium
Lineage: Bacteria
Description: partial 16S ribosomal RNA
Rfam family: Bacterial small subunit ribosomal RNA
Source: RNAcentral
GCGAUCCUACGGGAGGCAGCAGUCGGGAAUAUUGCGCAAUGGAGGAAACUCUGACGCAGUGACGCCGCGUAUAGGAAGAAGUUUUUCGGAAUGUAAACUAUUGUCGUUAGGGAAGAGAAAGGACAGUACCUAAGGAGGAAGCUCCGGCUAACUACGUGCCAGAAGCCGCGGUAAUACGUAGGGAGCGAGCGUUAUCCGGAAUUAUUGGGUGUAAAGGGUGCGUAGACGGGAAAACAAGGUAGUUGUGAAAUCCAUCGGCUUAACUGAGGAACUGCAACUAAAACUAUUUUUCUUGAG